GUAGGGAAUAUUGGUCAAUGGGCGGGAGCCUGAACCAGCCAAGUCGCGUGAAGGAAGAAGGAUCUAUGGUUCGUAAACUUCUUUUGCAGGGGAAUAAAGUGCAGGACGUGUCCUGUUUUGUAUGUACCCUGAGAAUAAGGAUCGGCUAACUCCGUGCCAGCAGCCGCGGUAAUACGGAGGAUCCGAGCGUUAUCCGGAUUUAUUGGGUUUAAAGGGUGCGUAGGUGGUUUGAUGAGGCAGCGGUGAAAGUUUGCAGCUUAACUGUAAAAAUGCCGGUGAAACUGUCGGACUUGAGUGUAAAUGAGGUAGGCGGAAUGCGUGGUGUAGCGGUGAAAUGCAUAGAUAUCACGGAGAACUCCGAUUGCGAAGGCAGCUUACUAAGCUACAACUGACACUGAAGCACGAAAGCGUGGGGAUCAAACAGGAUUAGAAACCCGGGUAGUCC
RNAcentral lists this ribosomal RNA (445 nucleotides) under uncultured bacterium. Its description in RNAcentral is "partial 16S ribosomal RNA". It matches the Rfam family "Bacterial small subunit ribosomal RNA", at positions 354 to 796 of the family's 1533-position model. The record is from RNAcentral.